This 3052-nucleotide long non-coding RNA is filed under the name Sus scrofa (pig). Its description in RNAcentral is "lncRNA (ENSSSCG00025023466.1)". The record is from RNAcentral. Lineage: Eukaryota; Metazoa; Chordata; Mammalia; Artiodactyla; Suidae.
GUCAUGGGAAAACAUGUAGGGUUAAUAAUUUUUAAAAAAUCAACUAUCUAGUCUAAUGUCAUCUGGAGAAAUUACUAUCAGCAUCAUUACUCUAACAUAAUUCUGAUACUUAGAGAUUUUUUACUGUUUGAAAGAAAACCAAUUUUAAAGAUAGUUAAACUAGCUUUUUUCCUAAAUGUGUGGGUUUCUAAACUAAAGUUACUUCCAUAGCAAAUGGCUUUCAUUACUCCAUCUUGUAUACCUUGUCUGAAAGUACCUUUUGAGGCUAAGAAACAAAAAGCUAAUGCAACACUAAACCUGAAAGACAAAAUUACAGCUUUCACAGGUAUUUCAUUCAGUGUAGGCCAAUACCUUUCACAGUCAAUAAUAACAACGGGAGAAUGUUGUCAUUUCUUGACAUUAUCUACUGCCUGUAACUCUCUGCUGUCACAUUUAAAGGAAUGUUGACAUUAUCAUGUUUGGAGAAAGCAAAUCUGAACUGAUAUCCUAGGGAAUAAUACAUUAUUUUCCUACAUGACCUUCACAAUCAUGAGAGUGGUAGAAUUCUCCAUGAUUCACUUUCUGUCUUAAAUAUAUAUUUAGGGAAUGAGAACUGAUACAAGCACUUGAAAUGUCAGAUAAAUAAAAUUAUUAGCCACCAUGCAAUUUGGUAUUACCUGGAAAAGAUGAAGAAGCAUGUUUGUAGCACCAGAAAUUUAACUCCCAGGCACAUACCCUAGCACAGAUUUCUAAGACCCCUGCCAUGGUAACCUAGUAUGCAACAAAUGUGUGAGGGGUGUGCCCAAAUAUGGUUCUCCUCAACCCUCCAGCCAAACAAGAGCCCCCUGGCCAGAGACAUAGCUUCAUUCCUUUGAUGGAGAGUUUUGUACAAAUAUGAUCUAUCAUUUCCUAUGUGUGCUGUAGCAUGAAAAAGGCUGGGAAACAUUGAUAGAGAAGUUCUUACAUAUGUGUGGCAGAUAAAUACACAGGAGAGUGUGUGUGUGUGUGUGUGUGUGUGUGUGUGUGUGUGUAUAUAUGCAUUGACAUGGAUAAAUCUAAGACUAUAUAUGCUGAGUAAAAAAUGGUAAGUCCCAGAAAAAUGCAUACAAUAUUGUUAAUUCUUUUAUAAAACUCAAAAACAGGUAAAACUAACCAGCAUACUGUUUAAGCAUAUACAGAUAUGUGAUAAAACCGUUGAAAAAAAGCAAGAAAAUUAUUAUUAACACAAAAUUCAGAACUUUGGUUGCCUCUGAAGGAGGAUGAAAAGUUUGGGAUCGGAAAGGAGCACACAGGAGAUAUUAGAGAUAAUGGUAAUAUCGCUUUCUUAAAGCUGGGCUGCAGGUACACAUGUGUUCUCUAUACAGUUAUUCCAUAAGCCUUAUAAAUAGUUUAUAAAUAUUUGCCAUCUACUCAGUGUUUAAUGCCUACCUUUUAUCAAAGCCCUACUUUAUCCAAAGGCAGAUAGCCAGUGCAUCUAUGAUCUCUGCAACAGAAUGAGGUACAUGGAACAGGAGGGACAGAAAGCACCCGACUGACUACACAGAACACUACAGCUCAGAUACUGAACCUUUCACAAGAGCCCUCCAAACCUAUACACAACUGCAACAAGAAAAGACUCAUAAACUACACAGUAAUUAAGAUUAAAUUAAAUAUGCUACCAUUUUACGAGGUACCACGUAUGAAAAUAUUAGCAUUAAAUAAAACACAGAUUUAAAGAAUCAGGACUGAAUAAACUGCCAGCCUAUGGAUGAAUAACUCUUGUUGCUAUUUUCAAAACAAUCAACAUUUCAUUGUGUAUUUAGACCACACAAAAGACAUUUACAGACUGACAAUACUUUAAUUCAUCAUGUAUAUCCAGCCAUGUUUGCUUAGUCAAAUGCCUGUCUGUUUGUCAAUGUCAUUUAAGGGCAGGUUUAUAAAGCUUCAAGAGCAAGAACUAGAUCUGUUUCAUCUGAUAUAACUACCAAGGAAAAACACAAUGAAAAUGGUUUCAGAAUCCUUGCCUCUACUCUUUGUUUUAAGGGCUAGACAGAGGGAAGCCGUUUUUCUAAGCAUUAGAUAUUUUGUAGACGCAAAAGAGCCAUAAUAGACCACAAAGAUAUAAACUUAACUUCUAAAUUAAUUUAUUAUUUUUGAUUUGGAAUAUAAAAGAAGCCCAGCUUGAGCUUUCCCUUUAAUAUUAAAAAAGAGAGAGAGACAGCCACUUAAAACAGAUAAGUUAAUGUUUAUACCAAAGCAAAUUUUUUCCCUUUCUUUUUUUUUUUUUUCUUUAAAGUUUGAAUAGGUGAGUGACCUUACUGGAAUUCCCCUGUUAGCUCUGGAGUAUCUAUUUGGAAGUUUCAAACAGAAACUACUUUCACAUGAUACAUUAGAAUGUUAUGCCAAGUGGUAUCUAUCUCUGCACCUUGAACUCAGAUGUUAUAACAUGGAUGAAUAAAUAAACUUUACACAAAACGAAAAGCAUUUUUUCCCUUAGGCCAUUUAAGAAAAUAUCAAAUUUAAUUAUAUUUAUAGGGUCAUUAUAUAUAGAAAAACUUCACAUACUUACCCAAACUCAAGAAAUUCAACCUUGAUACAGCUUCAAGCUAUCAAAAAUAGGCCAGUUUUUAAGAAUGUCAAACAAUGAAUAUAUCAUGCUGAAGUGAGAAUCUGAGUCCAUAUUUAAUUCGUUACAUUAGUACAAUUGCCUAAAAAUCCACACAAUAAUAAAGCAUUUGCUUCUCCUUUAUUUCAUAUUUUCUAAAAUACCUAUUUCCACCGAAAGGAAGUUAGUUUCAGAUUUACUGAGAAAUGGCUUAUAGCAACCCUGUCCUUUCCAGUGUGGGGCAGUCCCGAAACUAACCCUAAACCACUGAAAAUCAAUACAGAGUCAUAAGCAACAGUAGGGAUAAUUUAGAAUUGAAACAAAAUAUUUCCCCAAGCCAGGCCACACCCCUGAGUUUCACCCUUGGCACUUCUUUCCCUCCUUUUCAGAAGGUGAAAGCACAAAAAGCACACCCUGGAAUUUUAGUCCAGUCAUCUAUCUUGCUCUCAAAAGCUGUUUACAGGACAGAAAAAAAAAAAAAAAAAAAAA